Ictalurus punctatus (channel catfish) is the source of this 2582-nucleotide long non-coding RNA. The record is from Ensembl. Lineage: Eukaryota; Metazoa; Chordata; Actinopteri; Siluriformes; Ictaluridae.
GAGGGAAAAAUCUAUGUACUACUCAAGAACACAAUCAGCUCUGCAAACACUGAAGUGCACCACACACACACACACACACACACACACACACACACACACACACACACGCGCAGACAGACACGGACAGAUACACAGACAGACACACAGACACGGACAGAUACACAGACAGACACACAGACACGCUGACAGACACGCAGACAGACACGCAGACAGACACACAUAGACAGACACGCAGACACGGACACGCAGACACGGACACGCAGACACGGACACGCAGACACGGACACGGACAGAUACACAUAGACAGACACGCAGACACAGACAGACACACACGCAGACACACACGCAGACACACACGCAGACACACACGCAGACACACACGCAGACACACACGCAGACACACACACGCAGACACACACACAGACACACACACACAGACACACACACACAGACACAGACACACACAGAGACACACACAGAGACACUUAUGAUCAUUAUCAUCAAUCUUCUUUUUAUUAUAAUAAUAAUGAUAAUAAUUAAGUAGUGGUAGUAUUAUCAGUAGUAUUAUCAGUAGUAUUAUCAGUAGUAGUAUCAGUAGUAUUAUCAGUAGUAGUAUCAGUAGUAUUAUCAGUAGUAGUAUCAGUAGUAUUAUCAGUAGUAGUAUCAGUAGUAUUAUACAGAGUAUUAUCAGUAGUAUUAUCAGUAGUAUUAUCAGUAGUAGUAUCAGUAGUAUUAUCAGUAGUAUUAUCAGUAGUAGUAUCAGUAGUAGUAUCAGUAGUAUAGUACGUCUAGUAGUGGUAACUAGUGCUACGGUAAGUAUGAGCAGUAGCACAAAGGACACGUUAUUGUUCAUAAACACGUCCUGCAUAUAAACAGAUCCACUCGCGGUGUGUGUCAGACGUCUGCACCGAGUUCCACUCCACACCGACCCUUAACUUCACACCUUCAGAUGUUUCACAAACCACCGCCUGAGCACCAUCAGUGUUAUUAAAACAUCCUGAGCUUCACAUGUUCCAGCUAAACCAGUGAUGCUAAAGAAAAACAAACACGUGUGCGAGUGUGUGUGUGUGUGUGUGUGUGUGUGUGUGAGUGUGUGUGUGUGCGUCGAGAACGCGUGCAGCGUGUAAAUAUCAAACCCUGAGGUGAGUUACGGAGGUCAGAGCGAAACUCGGAUUUAAACGCCUCACAACAAAAUCCGUUUCGGGCGCGUGAGAAGAGGCUACAGCUAACAUCACGUAGCUUCAACCUCGUCACGUUUUUGUGCUACAUUCGGCCGUAAAAAACACGUCCUGGGCGACUGAACACGUGUAAACCGUGUAAAAUUUCAUUUACAGUCAAACAUUUAUGAAAAACCGCUUGAAGCUGGAUCCUCGAGUCGCAACGAAGAACAACAACAGAAGCAGCUGGACACGUUUCCGUGGCAAUAACUAAACCUGCACGUGUAGCUACAGCCGCGCUCACGUUUGUUUAACUGCGAAAACGCGAAGAAAUCAGGAGAUCUGUAAAGCCCCGCAGGUUCUCGUGUUGAACUCCAACACAGCCUGGAGCUCUGAGGAAGCGCGGCGUAGCGACCUGAAGUUCUCCCGAGGUGCUCGAACGAAGGACGCGUCUCAACGCGAGCUUCACACAACCCGCUGAACACUAAAAUCUGACCUCCACGUCAUCACCGCUCAAAAAGAGAAGAACAAAGAGAACCGUAUGAUUUCGUUUUAAACCUGUUCUGAACUUUCCAGAUUUACAACCUUCAGCUUUCUUCAUCAGCCUGUGCGGUCAAACCUGAUCGGCACCGCUCUUACAAAGUAACGCCUCCAGCCUGACGCCGUCGGAGAACCCUUUCACCCUCACGGUCUUUACAGAACCACCCAUUCACUCACUAGUGCCUCAAAGAGCCCAGAAACGGUUCUUCACAGCAGUGCCACAAGGUUCUCAAAGAACCUUCUUCUCGUCAAGAUCCGUCUUCCCCUUGUACAGGGUUCUCGAGUUGAGCUGGACGCUUCUCUGGAGAUUACAGGAGUUCUUUAUGUUUUGCUAAAGGUUCUUCAGAGCAGUGUUUGGUUCUUCGAGGUCUCAUCCCUUCUUAACAGCUUGAAGUGAACCCUGCACUAUACGGUUCUUUGAGGGACUGGAUGUGUGAGAAGGUUCUCCUUGCAGCACUCUAAUAACUGAGAACUUGUUAGAGAACUCGACACUGCUGUGAAGAACCAUUUUCAAGAUAAACGGUUCUGUAAAGAGCGUACGAGUUCAAGCGUCCUCCUAUGGCUGAAAAAAGUGUUUUCGGUUCUGACUGCGAGCUCCAUUUUUAAGCGUGAACCUUUUCCAGUCCCACAAAGAACCUUAUACAGCAGGGUUCACUUCAACCCGCUGAGAAGGGACGGGACCUUGAAGAACCUUUAACGGAACAUAAAGAACUUCUUUAAUCUCCACAGAAGCGUAGCAUCGCGUUCAGCUCAACUCAAGCAGACUGAGCAACGAAGGACGGUUCGUGGGAAGGAGAAGGUUCUACUCUGAAGAACCUUUACUUAUUUUGGUGGAUUCUGCAGUAAGUCUGGAACAUGGCUAAGAACAAUAGCACAAAUAAAUAA